UGCCAGCAGCCGCGGUAAUACGGAGGAUCCAAGCGUUAUCCGGAAUUAUUGGGUUUAAAGGGUCCGCAGGCUGUUUGUUAAGUCAGAGGUGAAAUCCUACCGCUCAACGGUAGAACUGCCUUUGAUACUGGCAAACUUGAGUUAUUGUGAAGUAGUUAGAAUGUGUAGUGUAGCGGUGAAAUGCAUAGAUAUUACACAGAAUACCGAUUGCGAAAGCAGAUUACUAACAAUAUACUGACGCUGAGGGACGAAAGCGUGGGUAGCAAACAGGAUUAGAUA
Molecule: ribosomal RNA, 279 nt
Filed under: uncultured bacterium
Lineage: Bacteria
Description: partial 16S ribosomal RNA
Rfam family: Bacterial small subunit ribosomal RNA
Source: RNAcentral